GUGAGGAAUAUUGGUCAAUGGGCGGGAGCCUGAACCAGCCAAGUCGCGUGAAGGAAGAAGGAUCUAUGGUUCGUAAACUUCUUUUGUGCAGGAAUAAAGUGGGUUACGUGUAACCUUUUGUAUGUACUGUACGAAUAAGGAUCGGCUAACUCCGUGCCAGCAGCCGCGGUAAUACGGAGGAUCCGAGCGUUAUCCGGAUUUAUUGGGUUUAAAGGGUGCGUAGGUGGAUUGAUAAGUCAGCGGUGAAAGUUUGCAGCUUAACUGUAAAAUUGCCGUUGAAACUGUCGGUCUUGAGUGCAAAUGAGGUAGGCGGAAUGUGUUGUGUAGCGGUGAAAUGCUUAGAUAUAACACAGAACUCCGAUUGCGAAGGCAGCUUACUGGGAUGCAACUGACACUGAUGCACGAAAGCGUGGGUAUCAAACAGGAUUAGAUACCCGAGUAGUCC
This 445-nucleotide ribosomal RNA is filed under the name uncultured bacterium. RNAcentral describes it as "partial 16S ribosomal RNA". It matches the Rfam family "Bacterial small subunit ribosomal RNA", at positions 354 to 796 of the family's 1533-position model. The record is from RNAcentral.